This 3091-nucleotide long non-coding RNA is filed under the name Solanum tuberosum (potato). RNAcentral describes it as "long non-coding RNA (STUB_LNC005799)". The record is from RNAcentral. Lineage: Eukaryota; Viridiplantae; Streptophyta; Magnoliopsida; Solanales; Solanaceae.
UUUAAUCAAUUCAAAAUUAUUAGUCUCAUUUAUUUUCUUCUCUUAUAUAUACUUGCAGAUCUAACGUGGGUAUUCCCUUCAAAUCCACGCUUUCAUCUUGGAUUUGAAAAACAACAAACUCAUCAAAGACCCCUUCACCAUUUUCUCUGUUCCUUUCCGUCUCCUUUAUUCUUCUUCAGUUAUAGCUGAUCUUUCUUGCUGAAACCUUUGCUUGAGCAGUAGAAAAUUUUGGGAAAAUUGGAAGCUUCCUCAGCUGUUUAGCUUCAACUUUGCUCAGGUUAGUACUUUUUCUCUUCCUUGCAUUAAUUUUCAAAGCAGAUAGCCAUUCUUUUUCUUCCUUUUUCGCUCUACUAAUAGAGUAGUAAUACAUAUGGGUCCCCUUUAAAACAUAUUAUUUGUUACUAUAUUUUCACAGACAAAAAAAGUUGUGUUUAGAGUGAAAAAAAUAUCUAAUAUUGAAAAAUCAUGUUAAUUUUACAUAAAUAAUACUAUAAAUCAUAAUAAUUAACAACUUAAAUAUUAAAAAGUUAUAUGAAAAAUUUGAUUGACUCUCGAAAUUCUAUUGAUACCACAAAAAAUGAGUUAGACGAUAAAUAUAUACUGUUUGAAAAUGACGUAAAAAGUAUUAUAAAUUACAGUAGUUAACAAUUUUUUUUAAAAACAAAUACAUAAAAAAAAUCCGUGACUCUAAAAAAAUCUAUCAAUGCCGCAUAAAUUGAGACAUAAAAAGUAACAUAUAUAUUAUUUGAAUGUUACGUUAAAAAAGUAUUAUAAAUUACAAUACUUUACAACUUAAUAUAUGUAAAAAAACAUACUUUUAAAAAAAGUGGUUAAUUUUAAAAUUAUAUAUAUGCCACAUAAAUUGAAACAAAGAAAAUAUAAUAAAUUAUUUUUAAAAUUACGUAAAAAAGUACUAACAACUUAAUUUUAAAAUUAUGUAAAAAAGUACUAACAACUUAAAAAAAAGUACUAACAACUUAACGCUUCCUUGUCAUUAUCAAGCAUCUUAUUGUUACAUGAUUGUUGUGUAACAAAAAUUUUAGUCUCAUUUUGUUUGAUUCGAUAUAAAAUCAUACUCCAUUUUUUAUUGAUAAUCGCUUCCUUGUCAUUAUCAAGCAUCUUAUUGUUACAUGAUUGUUGUGUUAAUCAGAUUUUAGUCUCAUUUUGUUUGAUUCGAUAUCAGUUUCAUAACUCUUAAAAGCUGAAAUGUUGCAUCUUUGUCCAGUAAACUCCAUUGUUUGACAACUUUUUUCCCUUUCUAGUUUUCUAUUUCAGCUAAGAUUUCUUCAUGUCUUUUGGUUUCAUAUUGUAGUAUUUUGACUCUAGUAUAAUUAUAGUCUCUUUAGUAUUAGUAUUAAUGUGUUGUGGCGUGGAGCUUCUGGAUCUAUCUCGUAUAUUGCUAUCAUUUUGAUUAAGUUAUCCGAACAUAAUUGUCACUUGAUUUCUUUGUUCAUCAUGAUUGAAUGAGUUCGUGUUGUCGCUGCCUUAGAAUUGAAUUUUGUUUUCUGUGGUUCAGCUACUGUUUAUUCCUAUCCUCUCUCUUUAUUUGAAGUUGUGAAAAAAUGCUAAAAAAAUCCCUCUCUUAUUCAUGUGUAAAAUUUCUGCAAAACAGUGGCAUACUUUGUAAAUUUUGUUUACUGCUUUGCUCAUGUUCAAAAUGCUCAGUUUCAUUCCAUUAAUAUAUGUGUCUGCUACUACCCUUUUCUUAGUGGUAUGAGACAUUGAUUCUGCAUUUUGUCAUUGUUUGUGGACUGCUAUGUGUUAGGAAGGAAAUUUGUUUCUAAAGGUGGUGGUUUACUUCAUUUUAAACUAGCUUUCACCUAAUUCCUUACUUCUUGAAUUUAGUUCUUUUUACCCUCAUAUAUGAUAUUCCAUAUUGCAUUGUAGACUUAAUAAUAUCAACUCCAACAGUCUACUCCAUUUUUGAUUGAUAAUCGCUUCCUUGUCAUUAUCUUUGUCUAAGUAAUUAUGUCCCAAAUACACCUGAUUAAUUCACUCCCUCAACACCUGAUUGAAGACAUACGAGUCUACCGGAGCAUCUUCAGCUAGCUGUAAUAGGAAAGUAAAGAAAACGGCUCUUGUUGCGUCUCUUCCCCCAUAAUACCUUUUCCCUAUAGGUUGUCGUGGGCUUAAAAGACAUGUUUUUGCAACCAGCCAUCGUCAGCUUGUUAACAUAGACACCUGCAACUGAUUUGGUCCUCUUUUCAAUGUGGAUUGGGGCUGGCUGUUUUAAUGAUUCACACCUCAGUAUUUGAACUGUAUUUUAGUUUGAAAAGUGAUGAACAAGACUUGUUAUGUGGAUGGGUAAUGAGACGUGAUGGUUCUCAACUCACUUCAUUAUGUAGCAUAUAAUUCACUAUAUAUACGUGGUUUAUGCAAGUUUAUCCAUCAAUUCUCAGUGUUAGUUGUUGACUCCAUCACUUUUGUCACUUAAAUGUAUGGCCUCACAUUUUCAACCUUACCAUUUGUUAGCUCUGUUGCCUUUGAAAUGCACCUUGGCUACAGCUUAUGGGGCCUCUAAGAAUAUCUUGGGAUUUUUCUCCUGCUGCCCUAUUCUUUGGCCUGAAGUGAACUAUAAAAUUCUGAAAGUUUUUUUGCCGUUAAAUUUUGAUUUGUAAACUGUAAUCUGCAAUCUACAAUUUGGAACCUGCAAUCUUGAACUGUAAUCUGCAAUCUGGAACCUACAAUCUGGAACUGUAAUCUGUAAUAUGCAAUAAUCUGGAAUCUGGAACUAUAAUCUGUAAUCUGCAAUAAUCUAUAAUCUAUAAUAUGAAAUCUGCAACCUACAAUCUUGAACUGCAAUCUGCAAUAUGAAAUCGGGAACCUGCAAUCUGGAACUCAAAAAGUCUGCAGUCUGCAAUCUGGAACUGCUGCAAUCGAGAAUCUGGAACUUCUUGCCUCUUCUAUAAUGUACUGCUGCAAUCUGAUUUGUUGUACUUUUAAAUGUGUAGGGAAAUGGAGGUGAUCAAAUUUGAAGGGUCGCCACAAGUCAAUUUGAUCUCAUUGAAGUUGAUGAUGAAUAGUUUUUGAACUAUUGUAAAUGUUUUAAUACAUUAUGUUUUAUUUUGUGAAAUAUAUUCAUUGCUAGAAU